Molecule: ribosomal RNA, 253 nt
Filed under: uncultured bacterium
Lineage: Bacteria
Description: partial 16S ribosomal RNA
Rfam family: Bacterial small subunit ribosomal RNA
Source: RNAcentral
UACGGAAGGUGCAAGCGUUGUUCGGAUUGACUGGGCGUAAAGAGCACGUAGGCGGAUUUGUAAGUCGAAUGUGAAAGCCCCGGGCUUAACCUGGGAACUGCAUUCGAAACUGUGAAUCUUGAAUACCUGAGGGGUUGGGGGAAUUCCUGGUGUAGGAGUGAAAUCCGUAGAUAUCAGGAGGAAUACCAGAGGCGAAGGCGCCCAACUGGCAGAGUAUUGACGCUGAGGUGCGAAAGCGUGGGGAGCAAACAGG